RNAcentral lists this ribosomal RNA (504 nucleotides) under uncultured Glomus. RNAcentral's name for it is "SSU rRNA". It matches the Rfam family "Eukaryotic small subunit ribosomal RNA", at positions 569 to 1077 of the family's 1831-position model. Lineage: Eukaryota; Fungi; Glomeromycota; Glomeromycetes; Glomerales; Glomeraceae. The record is from RNAcentral.
AGCAGCCGCGGUAAUUCCAGCUCCAAUAGCGUAUAUUAAAGUUGUUGCAGUUAAAAAGCUCGUAGUUGAAUUUCGGGAUUAGUAGUCUGGUCGUGCCACUGGUAUGUACUGGUCUUACUGAUUUCUCCUUCCUGAAGAACUGUAAUGUCAUUAAUUUGGUGUUGCGGGGAAUCUGGACUGUUACUUUGAAAAAAUUAGAGUGUUUAAAGCAGGCUAACGCUUGAAUACAUUAGCAUGGAAUAAUGAAAUAGGACGAUCGAUCCUAUUUUGUUGGUUUCUAGGAUUGACGUAAUGAUUAAUAGGGAUAGUUGGGGGCAUUAGUAUUCAAUUGUCAGAGGUGAAAUUCUUGGAUUUAUUGAAGACUAACUACUGCGAAAGCAUUUGCCAAGGAUGUUUUCAUUAAUCAAGAACGAAAGUUAGGGGAUCGAAGACGGUCAGAUACCGUCGUAGUCUUAACCAUAAACUAUGCCGACUAGGGAUCGGAUGAUGUUAAUUUUAUAAUGA